UGGAACAUGGCCAAGCGGCAAGGCGCCGGUUUUUGGCACCGGCAUCCCUGGUUCGAGCCCAGGUGUUCCAG
Molecule: transfer RNA, 71 nt
Filed under: Candidatus Hodgkinia cicadicola Dsem
Lineage: Bacteria; Pseudomonadati; Pseudomonadota; Alphaproteobacteria; Hyphomicrobiales
Description: tRNA-Gln (TTG) (tRNA-Gln-TTG-1-1)
Rfam family: tRNA
About the family: Transfer RNA (tRNA) molecules are approximately 80 nucleotides in length. Their secondary structure includes four short double-helical elements and three loops (D, anti-codon, and T loops).
Source: RNAcentral